Molecule: unclassified non-coding RNA, 177 nt
Filed under: uncultured Ascomycota
Lineage: Eukaryota; Fungi; Ascomycota
Description: sequence contains ITS1
Source: RNAcentral
CGAAAUUAUGCUGACCCCUAACCGGGAUGGCUAUAUUUUCAACCCUUUGUGAACCAAAAAAACCUUUUAGCUUCGGCAGCUGGGUUGCGGAAACGCAUCCUGUCAGCCUGCCGAUAGCACCAAACUUAAAACUUGCUUAUAUAAAAUUGUCUGAAUCAAAAAUUUCGAAUGAAAUUA